Molecule: ribosomal RNA, 422 nt
Filed under: uncultured bacterium
Lineage: Bacteria
Description: partial 16S ribosomal RNA
Rfam family: Bacterial small subunit ribosomal RNA
Source: RNAcentral
GAAUUUUGGACAAUGGGCGAACGCCUGAUCCAGCAAUGCCGCGUGCAGGAUGAAGGCCUUCGGGCUGUAAACUGCUUUUGUACGGGACGAAAAGCUCUGGGUUAAUACCCUGGAGUCAUGACGGUACCGUCAGAAUAAGCACCGGCUAACUACGUGCCAGCAGCCGCGGUAAUACGUAGGGUGCAAUCGUUAAUCGGAAUUACUGGGCGGAAAGGGGGCGCAGGCGGUUUUGUGAGGCAGAGGUGAAAUCCCCGGGCUCAACCUGGGAACUGCCUUUGUGACUGCAAGGCUAGAGUACGGCAGAGGGGGGUGGAAUUCCGCGUGUAGCAGUGAAAUGCGUAGAUAUGCGGAGGAACACCGAUGGCGAAGGCAACCCCCUGGGCCUGUACUGACGCUCAUGCACGAAAGCGUGGGGAGCAAAC